GAUGAAGAACGUAGCGAAAUGCGAUACUUGGUGUGAAUUGCAGAAUCCCGUGAACCAUCGAGUCUUUGAACGCAAGUUGCGCCUCAAGCCAUUAGGUUGAGGGCACGUCUGCCUGGGCGUCACAUAUCGUUGCCUGAUGCCAGUUUCCUCGUGAUGGGUGACUGUGCAGGGCGAAUGAUGGCUUCCCGUGAGCAUUGUUGCCUCAUGGUUGGUUGAAAAUUGAGUCCUUGGUAGGGAGCGCCGUGAUAGAUGGUGGUUGAGUGACGAACGAGACCCAAUCAUGUGAGACCCCUACCGAAUUUGGCCUUCAUGACCCACAUGCGUCUUUGGAACGCUCAUGACGAGACCUCAGGUCAGGCGGGGCUACCCGCUGAGUUUAAGCAUAUCAUACGGAGGA
Molecule: unclassified non-coding RNA, 397 nt
Filed under: soil metagenome
Description: partial contains 5.8S ribosomal RNA, internal transcribed spacer 2, and large subunit ribosomal RNA
Rfam family: 5.8S ribosomal RNA (bases 1-122)
Source: RNAcentral